Molecule: ribosomal RNA, 110 nt
Filed under: Paracoccaceae bacterium
Lineage: Bacteria; Pseudomonadati; Pseudomonadota; Alphaproteobacteria; Rhodobacterales; Paracoccaceae
Source: RNAcentral
UGGUGGUCAUAGCGCGAGGCAAACUCCCGAUCCCAUCCCGAACUCGGACGAUAAGGCCCGCCGCGCCGAUGGUACUGCGUCUCAAGACGUGGGAGAGUAGGUCGCCGCCA